UAGGGAAUCUUCCGCAAUGGGCGAAAGCUUGACGGAGCAACGCCGCGUGAGUGAUGAAGGUCUUCGGAUCGUAAAACUCUGUUAUUAGGGAAGAACAAAUGUGUAAGUAACUAUGCACGUCUUGACGGUACCUAAUCAGAAAGCCACGGCUAACUACGUGCCAGCAGCCGCGGUAAUACGUAGGUGGCAAGCGUUAUCCGGAAUUAUUGGGCGUAAAGCGCGCGUAGGCGGUUUUUUAAGUCUGAUGUGAAAGCCCACGGCUCAACCGUGGAGGGUCAUUGGAAACUGGAAAACUUGAGUGCAGAAGAGGAAAGUGGAAUUCCAUGUGUAGCGGUGAAAUGCGCAGAGAUAUGGAGGAACACCAGUGGCGAAGGCGACUUUCUGGUCUGUAACUGACGCUGAUGUGCUAAAGCGUGGGGAUCAAACAGG
RNAcentral lists this ribosomal RNA (429 nucleotides) under Actinomycetes bacterium. RNAcentral's name for it is "Actinobacteria bacterium partial 16S ribosomal RNA". It matches the Rfam family "Bacterial small subunit ribosomal RNA", at positions 355 to 776 of the family's 1533-position model. Lineage: Bacteria; Bacillati; Actinomycetota; Actinomycetes. The record is from RNAcentral.